Molecule: ribosomal RNA, 519 nt
Filed under: uncultured eukaryote
Lineage: Eukaryota
Description: bacterial SSU rRNA
Rfam family: Eukaryotic small subunit ribosomal RNA
Source: RNAcentral
AGGGCACCACCUGGAGUGGAGCCUGCGGCUUAUUUUGACUCAACACAGGAAACCUCACCCGGCCCGGACACGGACAGGAUUGACAGAUCGAUAGCUCUUUCUCAAUUCCGUGGUUGAUGGUGCAUGGCCGUUCUUAGUUGGCGAAUGGAUUUUUCUGGUUAAUUCUAAUAACGAACGAGACUCUGGUAUGCUAUCUAUUUUUGCCACCCCCCCAGCGGUGGGCAUCCCCCCACUUCUUGAGGGGAUACCAUCUGGCCCCACACCCAAAAUGAUACAAUAACAACCCUGUGAUGCCCUUACCAUGUCCGGGGCUGCUCACGCGCUCCGCCGGCUGGGCCAACCUCAGCAUACCUUACGCAAGUUUGUCCGGCUAACUCGUUUAACCUAAUUGUUGCGGGGAAUCGGGGAUAGUAUAUCUCCCCAUGAAACAAAGAAUCCCCGUAAAUGCCCGGAUCAAAAGGUAUGCAUUAAUUAUGUCUCGUCUUUUGUGUGCACUCAACCCAAGCUACAGACCGAAUG